This 2056-nucleotide long non-coding RNA is filed under the name Homo sapiens (human). RNAcentral's name for it is "HSALNT0226872". Lineage: Eukaryota; Metazoa; Chordata; Mammalia; Primates; Hominidae. The record is from RNAcentral.
ACGCGUCAUACACCUGCACCCGGGAGGAAAGGCGAGGCUCUGCAUCUAGAUUUACCUCGUUCUCUUUUGUCUCCGCUUUUUUUUCACAUUUCCUUGCGACCCUGGCCCUUGAGCGACAAAAAGGGGAAGCCAAGGCUGGCCCGAGGAACGGAGAGGGCACAUGGCCUAGCCACAAGUGGAGCUUCUGCUCCGCCCGAAGGGAUGCGCUGGAGCGGCCUCUUCCUUCUGCCACGGUCUUUCUUUGCCAACUAGUAGAUUUGGACAUUUACAGUGUUCAGCCGUUGUUGUGGCAUUCCAAUUCAAUUGGGAAACAGCUUGAUGUAGCGUCCCCAUAAGGUCCACAGUAAUUAAAUUUUUUUUUUUUUUUUUUGGUGCGGUAGUGCAAUUUCAUGGCUCACUGCAACCUCCACCUCCCAGGUUCAAGCGAUCCUCCCAUCUCAGCCUCCCUAGUAGCUGGGAUUACAGGUGCACGCCACCACACCAGGCUAAUUUUUGUAUUUUUAGUAGAGAUGGGGUUUCACCAGGUUAGCCAGGCUGGUCUUGAACUCCAGACCUCAAGGGAUCCGCCUGCCUCAGCUUUCCAAAGUGCUGGGAUUACAGGUGGAGACUGGACCUCAGAAGAGGGAGUGGGUGCCCCGAGAACUCACAGCUAGCGGACAGUGGAAAGGGCAGGAGCCGGACCAAGGUGAGGACAGUGGAACUGAAGGCCGCUGGUUACCUCUCCUGCCCUCCGCUGGCCACAGUGGAGAAGACAGCCCCUCCCUCCUGCUCUGACCUGACAGUGUUCAUCCAUCGCCCUGUAUUAGCGAAGAACAACAUCAAGCUGGCUAGCAAGGAACUGUAUACAGGGUCCAGCUGGGUAUCACACUGGAUCUCACCCAAAGCUUAGAUGUGAUCCAGCUCAGUAUCACAAAGCAGAACGAAAAGGAUGUGUUUGGGCUGAGAGGCCAUACAUUGGCUCCGGCAUGACGGGUGACUUCUUCCGAGUCUGGCUUCUGCAGCACACAGGGCUUCGCCAGCACCCAGCUCCUGCAGCAUGGGCAGCUCCUGUGACAGCAGGCGCCCGCAGCCUGCAAAGCGUCUCCAGUGCCGCCGCCUCAGUGAACCUCAACCAGCGGCACCUAGCAGCUUUCUCUGCCACCCUCUUCAGGUCUGGAUCUAAGCCCAGGGACCAGGAAACCUCUUGCUUGAGUGCUGGAACUCAGGCCAGAAGGUAUGGCUGCUGCUAUGUGCUGUGACCAGAGAAUCAGAGUUCUCUUUACUUCUUACCAGCCAACCUCUUGAAAAUGCCUUUUUGUUUUUUGUUUUUUUUUGAGACGGAGUCUCGCUCUGUUGCCCAGGCAGUGCAGUGGCUCACUGCAACCUCCGCCUCCUGAGUUCAAGUGAUUCUCCUGCCUCAGCCUCACAAGUAGGUGGGAUUACAGGCAUGUGCCACCACGCCCAGCUAAUUUUGUAUUUUUAGUAGUGACGGGGUUUCUCCAUGUUGGUCAGGUUGGUCUCAAACUCUCGACCUCAGGUGAUCCACCUGUCUCAGCCUCCCAAAGUGCUGGGAUUACAGACGUUAGCCAGAGCGCCCAGUCUAAGCCCUUUAUAGCUUAAUUCUAUAUAUUAAAUUUUCCCAGUUCAAAUUACUGUGUGCUUCCCUUCUCCUGAUUGGACCUUGCUUGAUACAAAAUUAGUACAAGGAGUGGUCUCAAGAGAUAGAUGCACAAAGAAGGGAUAUGGGGACGGAUUUGGGUAUUUGGGCUUGAGUGCAGACUGAGCUCCUUGACAAUGAGAAAUAGGAUAUGUAUUAGGGUUCUCCAGAAACAGAAUAACAGAAUCUAUAUAUACAUGUGUAUGUGUGUGUAUAUAUAUAUAUAUAGAGAGAGAGAGAGAGAGCUUUUAUGUGUGUGUAUAUGUAUAUAUAUAAACACACACACACUAAGGUAUUGCCUCACAUGAUUAUGGCAGUCGAGAAGCCCCACAAUCUGCUAUCUGCAAGCUGGAGACCCAAGGUCAGUGGUGCAGCAUUUUUUUUUCAGAUGGGGUCUCCCUCUGUUGCCCAGGCUGGACU